This 449-nucleotide ribosomal RNA is filed under the name uncultured bacterium. RNAcentral describes it as "partial 16S ribosomal RNA". It matches the Rfam family "Bacterial small subunit ribosomal RNA", at positions 29 to 523 of the family's 1533-position model. The record is from RNAcentral.
AACGAACGCUGGCGGCAUGCCUAACACGUGCAAGUCGAACGAGAUCUUCGGGUCUAGUGGCGCACGGGUGCGUAACGCGUGGGAAUCUGCCCUUUGGUUCGGAAUAACAGUUGGAAACGACUGCUAAUACCGGAUGAUGACGAAAGUCCAAAGAUUUAUCGCCAGAGGAUGAGCCCGCGUAGGAUUAGCUAGUUGGUGUGGUAAAGGCGCACCAAGGCGACGAUCCUUAGCUGGUCUGAGAGGAUGAUCAGCCACACUGGGACUGAGACACGGCCCCGACUCCUACGGGAGGCAGCAGUGGGGAAUAUUGGACAAUGGGCGAAAGCCUGAUCCAGCGAUGCCGCGUGAGUGAUGAAGGCCUGAGGGUUGUAAAGCUCUUUUACCCGGGAUGAUAAUGACAGUACCGGGAGAAUAAGCUCCGGCUAACUCCGUGCCAGCCGCCGCAGUAA